GAUGAACGCUGGCGGCGUGCCUAAUACAUGCAAGUCGAGCGAACAGACGAGGAGCUUGCUCCUCUGACGUUAGCGGCGGACGGGUGAGUAACACGUGGAUAACCUACCUAUCAGACUGGGAUAACUUCGGGAAACCGGAGCUCAUACAGGAUAAUAUAUUGAACCGCAUGGUUCAAUAGUGAAAGACGGUUUUGCUGUCACUUAUAGAUGGCUCAGCGCCGCAUUAGCUAGUUGUUAAGGUAACGGCUUACCAAGGCAACGAUGCGUAGCCGACCUGAGAGGUUGAUCGGCCACACAGGAACGGAGACACGAUCCAGACACCUACGGGAGGCAACAGUAGUGAAUCUUCCGCAAUAGGCGAAAGCCUGACGGAGCAACGCCACGUGAGUGAUGAAUGUCUUCGGAUCGUAAAACUCAGUUAUUAUGGAAAAACAAAUGUGUAAGGAACUAUGCACAUCUUGACGGUACCUAAUCAGAAAGCCACGGCUAACUACGUG
This 497-nucleotide ribosomal RNA is filed under the name uncultured bacterium. RNAcentral's name for it is "partial 16S ribosomal RNA". It matches the Rfam family "Bacterial small subunit ribosomal RNA", at positions 28 to 507 of the family's 1533-position model. The record is from RNAcentral.